Molecule: transfer RNA, 82 nt
Filed under: Opisthocomus hoazin
Lineage: Eukaryota; Metazoa; Chordata; Aves; Opisthocomiformes; Opisthocomidae
Rfam family: tRNA
About the family: Transfer RNA (tRNA) molecules are approximately 80 nucleotides in length. Their secondary structure includes four short double-helical elements and three loops (D, anti-codon, and T loops). Further hydrogen bonds mediate the characteristic L-shaped molecular structure. tRNAs have two regions of fundamental functional importance: the anti-codon, which is responsible for specific mRNA codon recognition, and the 3' end, to which the tRNAs corresponding amino acid is attached (by aminoacyl-tRNA synthetases). tRNAs cope with the degeneracy of the genetic code in two manners: having more than one tRNA (with a specific anti-codon) for a particular amino acid; and 'wobble' base-pairing, i.e. permitting non-standard base-pairing at the 3rd anti-codon position.
Source: Rfam by way of RNAcentral
GGUAGCGUGGCCAGUUGGUUUAAGGUGCUAGAUUAAGUCUCAAGUAUCAUUGGGGGUGUGGGUUUGAAUCCCACCGCUGCCA